This 1009-nucleotide long non-coding RNA is filed under the name Cricetulus griseus (Chinese hamster). Its description in RNAcentral is "lncRNA (ENSCGRG00015036120.1)". The record is from RNAcentral. Lineage: Eukaryota; Metazoa; Chordata; Mammalia; Rodentia; Cricetidae.
GAGAGUUUGAGCAGCAAGCACGGGCACUGCUGUGGUGACCAUCGUGGCCCUCACAAAGCCCUUUCUUUUUUAUCUCUUUAGAGAGAUAAACUAGCACCCCCUUAUUUGGCUGCGAGGGCCGGAGAGCUCCUUUGGGGAGGGAGAUAUGCCUCGCUGGGCCUGUAGGUCUGGACCUGAGAUUCUUGUUAUUAACUUCAACGCGGUCUGGUGAUCUCCCCUGUUGAUGCAGUCCUUUCAAUGCCAGGGAAAGCCAUGUCCUUAGAAAGGGACUGUUUGGCCCAGCCUUCCCGGAGAUGGAGGCUUCCUGACGUUUCCAAAGGCCACUUUGGCUUCUCUAGAGGGCUGGCCUGGUGCACUCAUGCAAGAUGAAGCUAGCCUUUCUCAUCAAGCUGGAAAGCGGCACUGCAAUUUCUCGCUGUAACCUCUGGUUACUCAAUGGCUCCGCAUCCCUAACAAAUGGCCCAUGGAGAAUGAAGCCAAAAACAGAGGACCACCUUCCUAACGAGUGAUUAUGUGGAAAUUUAGAUGCCAAAGGUGGAGACCAAAGCAUAUGGCUUUGUGAUGAGCAGUGUGAUUUGCCAGGGCUCAGAAGAUGGAAGGAGAUAAAUAACAGCAGUAGUGGGGCUAUAUCUAGGGAAGAGAGAUGAGUGGAGUUCCAUGUCCACCUGUCAUAGGUGCCCUCCAAAUGCUCUUCAGAGUUGGCGGGGGGGGGGGUCAGGGCGUCUGGAUGUGUUGCUAUUUUCCUUUGACUUAAAGAGAACUGUUUGUAUCUGUGUCUCCCUGUUGCUAGUGUGGAAUUCAGCCUGGGCUGUUAAUCUAGAUAUUUCAGAUAGUGCAGAAGAUCAGCUGUAUUGGCUUGUUCUUACAGUAGUGUGAGAAAACUUGAAAAUAAAAUAAAGGAUGAUUAAUCACCACCCCCCCCUUGAUGGGGGGAUAUCCUUCUGUAUAUAUGUUUCUCUCACUGAUUGAUGAGCAAAAUACUGUUUGGCUAAUAGAGACAGGAAGAUAG